This is a long non-coding RNA of Telopea speciosissima, 252 nucleotides long. RefSeq lists it as uncharacterized. The transcript is spliced from 3 exons. NCBI's taxonomy places the organism in Eukaryota, Viridiplantae, Streptophyta, Magnoliopsida, Proteales, Proteaceae. The record is from RefSeq and is a predicted model, not a curated record.
UGGAGAUGAUAGGAUAGUAGUGUAAAAUAUGCAAAUUCACCAUAAGAUUAAGGAGCCAUAUUUAACAAUGACUACUGUUGAAAUGGUUAUCUAAAUUUCGCAUUCGAAAUAAGGGCCUCUGUUUUUAGGGAAGCUUAUUUGGUAGGGGGCAUAUGAAAUUAGGGAAGCUUAUUUGGAAACUUUAUAUUAUUUGAGUAAGCUUGUGAAGUAAUGUCCAAGAUGACCACUGAUGAUAACAAAUACAUGGUAAGU